GUAGGGGAACCUGCGGCUGGAUCACCUCCUUAAUCGAAGAUCUCAGCUUCUUCAUAAGCUCCCACACGAAUUGCUUGAUUCACUGGUUAGACGAUUGGGUCUGUAGCUCAGUUGGUUAGAGCGCACCCCUGAUAAGGGUGAGGUCGGCAGUUCGAAUCUGCCCAGACCCACCAAUUGUUGGUGUGCUGCGUGAUCCGAUACGGGGCCAUAGCUCAGCUGGGAGAGCGCCUGCUUUGCACGCAGGAGGUCAGGAGUUCGAUCCUCCUUGGCUCCACCAUCUAAAACAAUCGUCGAAAGCUCAGAAAUGAAUGUUCGUGGAUGAACAUUGAUUUCUGGUCUUUGCACCAGAACUGUUCUUUAAAAAUUCGGG
Molecule: transfer RNA, 370 nt
Filed under: Pseudomonas aeruginosa
Lineage: Bacteria; Pseudomonadati; Pseudomonadota; Gammaproteobacteria; Pseudomonadales; Pseudomonadaceae
Description: partial 16S ribosomal RNA
Rfam family: tRNA (bases 97-170)
Source: RNAcentral